RNAcentral lists this long non-coding RNA (1325 nucleotides) under Oryctolagus cuniculus (rabbit). RNAcentral's name for it is "lncRNA (ENSOCUG00000036729.1)". Lineage: Eukaryota; Metazoa; Chordata; Mammalia; Lagomorpha; Leporidae. The record is from RNAcentral.
AUGGGGGGCCAGCUCUUCCUCUGGGUCAGGGUCGGGAACCGAGCGGGGGCUUCAGGGCCGGAUACUUCGCCAGGGGAGGCGGCGCGCUCGCCCCGAAAGCCUCUGCCUGCUCGCGGCGGAGAGAGGCUGGGCGGCCGCGGGUGCGGACAGCUGCCCGGUUCCGCGGCUCUCGCGGCCCGGGGGGCCCCCUGGCCGGGCUCCCCCACCCCUCCCGUGGCUCUCACCCCCACGCUCCCUAAUCCAAUUUGCAACUUGGCCGCGCGCCGCCCCCGGCUCGGCCCCCACCCCCGCAGCCCCAGUUCCAGAGGCGGGAGGAUCGACUCCUGCAGCCGGGUGCUCGGUGCUCAUGGCCGCAGAGGCGGGGUCAAGGUGACGUCCGGGGCCGGGGGAGCCAGGGACCACAGUGGCAGCAGACCCUUCAUGCCCGGUGCCUUUGGAACUCGCAGAUGCAAGAGGAACACGCUUCCUGGCUGCUGUCCCCAUGGCCCCCAUGCCCUUGUGGCCUCUUAUAUGCUAGGAGGAGCCCGCCAAGGGCCUCUUCUUCAGGGAAUGGAAGCAGCCGACUGGACCGGGAUUGGAGUGUGUGUGUGAGGCUCGUGGAGGGAGCGGGAGGCGGAGAACUCCAGCAGCUGGCAUUCUUCGGGGGCAGUCUCAGCUGGCACCACGGCGGGCACCAGGCAGUGGCCGGAGCAGGGGGUCUCCAGGUGCCCGGGGCGGAGGCUGGCCCCGCUGUGGGCCAGUUUGCUCUCUUCCCGACAACAUCCAGGCAUCCACCUGGGGGCGCCAGAGGGCAAGAUACGGCUGUACUCGUUUCUGCCACCAGAGGGCGGCGUCGGCACAUUGAUUUCUGCUGCUCCUGCGAUCUGUCCAAACCCGGCUGGGCGAGGCGGAACCCAGGUCGAGGGCUGAGCCCGGAGAGGCCGUCCUGGCGCGGAGUCCUGACCGCGGCGUGGGCAGUGGGAAGGAAUCAGGGCCCUGCAGUCGGACGGCGUGUUCGGGUCUGCGUUGCGGCGCUGCACCUGUGAUGCCAGCAUCCCGUAUCCACUGUGGGUUUGAGUCCCGGCUGCUCCACUUCCAAUCCUGCUCCCUGCUGAUGUGCCAGGGAAGGCAGCAGAGGAUGGCCCAAGUGUUUGUGCCCCUGCACCCACAUGGGAGACCCCAGAGGAGUUCCUGGAUCCUGGCUUCUGCUUGGCCCAGCCCCAAUUGCUGUGGCCCACUGGGGGAAUGAACCAGGAGAUGGAAGAUCUCUCUCUGUCUCUCUCUGUCUUUCUCUGACUGCUUUGCAAGUAAAAAUAAAUGACUCUUUUUCAUUUUUUAAGACUGCA